RNAcentral lists this ribosomal RNA (530 nucleotides) under Nocardia farcinica. Its description in RNAcentral is "bacterial SSU rRNA". It matches the Rfam family "Bacterial small subunit ribosomal RNA", at positions 77 to 623 of the family's 1533-position model. Lineage: Bacteria; Bacillati; Actinomycetota; Actinomycetes; Mycobacteriales; Nocardiaceae. The record is from RNAcentral.
CCUUCGGGGUACACGAGCGGCGAACGGGUGAGUAACACGUGGGUGAUCUGCCCUGUACUUCGGGAUAAGCCUGGGAAACUGGGUCUAAUACCGGAUAUGACCUUACAUCGCAUGGUGUUUGGUGGAAAGAUUUAUCGGUACAGGAUGGGCCCGCGGCCUAUCAGCUUGUUGGUGGGGUAAUGGCCUACCAAGGCGACGACGGGUAGCCGGCCUGAGAGGGCGACCGGCCACACUGGGACUGAGACACGGCCCAGACUCCUACGGGAGGCAGCAGUGGGGAAUAUUGCACAAUGGGCGAAAGCCUGAUGCAGCGACGCCGCGUGAGGGAUGACGGCCUUCGGGUUGUAAACCUCUUUCGACAGGGACGAAGCGCAAGUGACGGUACCUGUAGAAGAAGCACCGGCCAACUACGUGCCAGCAGCCGCGGUAAUACGUAGGGUGCGAGCGUUGUCCGGAAUUACUGGGCGUAAAGAGCUUGUAGGCGGUUUGUCGCGUCGUCCGUGAAAACUUGGGGCUCAACCCCAAGCUUG